CCGCCACCCCCAGGUGUACUUUGCCGUGGCGUAGUUUAUGCAGCCGGCGGCAAGCACUCCAAUUCCAAGGAAAAAUUCAAAGCCUGUGUUGAAGGCACCUCGCCAUUUGGGUGGUGCGAUUUCGGAAAGAGACAGAUAAAACUGUUAAAGCUAACCUGAUUAGUAAAGCCAAGUCCGAGGCCAAGAAGGAUACGACCAAGAAUGAGCAUAAGAAUAUUUUGUGCGGCUCCAUUAAGUGCAGCACCAGCAAGAAAGAUGGCCCCACCCAAGAUGAUGGUGUUUCUUCGGCCAAACUUUGUUGUUACUCGACUAGCUGCCAGAGAUGACACCAAACCAGCAAGAUAGAGAGAAGACGUGAAUAAUGUUAACAAUUCACUGUCAUACACACAAUACAUAUUUACUUCCGCAUCGGAUGCAUUUCGUAGAAUUGAUGGAAAGAACUUCCUAAGAAAUGGUACCAUCGUUGUUACACCUCCUGAAAUUACAUAACAUUCUCGGUAAAUUCACUCUCAACUUUAUAUAAAUUACUACUGAGAAAAAGUCUGUUUUAUGGGACCUUUUUUUAUUCCAAACUAAAAUUCGUUCAUUUUUCUCUUACACUUAAAUUAUAAUUUCAUAAAUUAUUUUAUUUAUACCUAUUAUUAUUAUCUUAUUAUAAGAUUUUAUUAUGAAAAGUAAUUCUUAAAUGGAUGUAGAUUAAAAAGUGAUGAAACUAGAAACGUAGAUUUACUAUUUUGGUUCGACUGAGAGGUGUGGACGAGAACCAAAGAUGAAAUUAAAUUGCGCAGGACAUCGGUUUUAUUAGUUGCAAUAAUACAUAAGAAAUACUAAGAAACUGUGGAACUUGUUCAAGAAUACUAUGUGGGUAAAUAGCAACUUCUCGUUUAUUUUUUAUUUUUUUUUUCAAUAAAAAAAAACACGUAUCAUUAUCAUGUAUUAAUAUAUUAUAUUUUCUCGUAUACCUAAUUUCUCUCUUAUUUCUUGUUUCCUUAUUAAGUAUUUUAUGAGCAAGAUAAUUUAUAUACUCUAUUCAUCUCUAAAAGUAGGAUAUUGUUUUGAAAAUCGUCAUAACCUUUUUAUAAGACUUUUUCUUUUUUUUUAUUUCAUAUAUUAAUUAUUUUUAUCAAAAUAUUCUUAAUUAUUAUAGUUCAGAACACAUUGUCAGUAAAAUAACAUUAUACCUGGUGCUAUAAUUAUUCAUUCUAUACCAAAUUUGAAUAUAUUUUAUCAUUAAUUAAAUUUAUAUGAAUAGUCUUAUUAUUCAAUAAAAUAACAAUCUAAUAAUAGAAGAUAUGAAAAAGAGUGAGUCGUUCACAAAUCACAUCACGAAAAGAAGAAAAACCUGAAACUCCAACGUCAUAUCCAAAAAUGAGUCCACUAGAGGCAGCAACGAUACACGUUAUGAGAACAGAGAGUGUUAUCUUGUCGCCGUGGAAGGCAGUCGGCAGUGCAUUCUCCGUGAAUCCCCCAACGGCCAUUUUCAGCUCUGUUAAUUGAUCUGAUUUACAGGUUCCAAGUGGUUAUUAGGGUGGAUGAUACUUGCGCGUCCCCAAUUUAUGCCUAAGGAAGUUUCUCACCCAAACGAAACAAAAUGGCUUCUUCAAAUGGAUGCAAUUACGUAUCUAUCUGUAGUUGUGAACAGUGCUGCAACCGUAUAUAAAAGUACCUUUUUUAA
This is a long non-coding RNA of Vigna angularis (adzuki bean), 1675 nucleotides long. RefSeq lists it as uncharacterized. NCBI's taxonomy places the organism in Eukaryota, Viridiplantae, Streptophyta, Magnoliopsida, Fabales, Fabaceae. The record is from RefSeq and is a predicted model, not a curated record. The transcript is spliced from 2 exons.